Long non-coding RNA from Hibiscus syriacus, 209 nucleotides. RefSeq lists it as uncharacterized. NCBI's taxonomy places the organism in Eukaryota, Viridiplantae, Streptophyta, Magnoliopsida, Malvales, Malvaceae. The record is from RefSeq and is a predicted model, not a curated record. The transcript is spliced from 2 exons.
AUUGGGAUUGUACCAUAUAGCCCUCAGGUCACGGUUUCUUUGGUGGCAAAGGAGUGGUGGAAACCUUGCCUGCAAAUAGUUUUCUGCCAUAUUUACCAAGGUUUCAAGUAGAGAACUUGGAAAAAAACAAGACCUUAUAUUUGAAAAUCGAGAAGUCGGCUGAGAAGCACGGAUGUACCCCUGCACAAUUAGUACUCGCUUGGGCUCUU